Gadus morhua (Atlantic cod) is the source of this 377-nucleotide long non-coding RNA. RefSeq lists it as uncharacterized. The transcript has 2 exons. Lineage: Eukaryota; Metazoa; Chordata; Actinopteri; Gadiformes; Gadidae. The record is from RefSeq and is a predicted model, not a curated record.
GUGUUCAUGUGCGGGGGCGUGGCCAUUCCAGCACAGUUCCCCGACCCAGCCUCGUUGAUCACCCGCACCUGACAGUCAUCUGCAAUCAGGAUCACCAGGAUAACUACCCCAGUCAUCCAGCCAUUCGUCGCCAGAUCGUCGUUUGUACUACUAACCCUUCAUCACCAUCACAACUAUACCACAACCCUGCUCUACUGCCGGAUUAACAUCUUCUUCGAAUCGUCGUGCAUGACUGUCGGUUCGCCUGCCAGCCGACCCGUCCGACCCCGGUUCGGACCCCCCCCCCCCCCGUCCGUUGGUUUCAGGAUUACCCCUAACGGACGCAACCUUAUGCACUAACCUUGAUCAACCGCGGACUAAUAAACUGUUCUACUGUU